Molecule: non-coding RNA, 2209 nt
Organism: Malus domestica (apple)
Lineage: Eukaryota; Viridiplantae; Streptophyta; Magnoliopsida; Rosales; Rosaceae
Source: RefSeq, a predicted model, not a curated record
AGACCAGUUUGGUGAAGCAUUCAGAAAUGCCAAGAAUGCCCUCACUUCGUACACAAAAAACCAAAAAAUAAUUGUCUAAAAAAUAGGGUUAAAAACGUAAUAAUUCUGAAUUCUCAACGACAUUAAUUCACAACCAUUGGAUAAGAUACUCACACUUUAAGUUCAUUUUCAGCCUUUAGAUCAAUUAUUCCACAACUGCUAGAAAGACAUCAGAAACCAUGUAUUGCACGAUCAAAGCAGCAACUGCUGCGGUUGACAGACCCGACAUGGAACCGCCAUUUAUCACACGUUCUCGAUCCCCACAGAGCAUACAAAAGGGAAAAUUGGAUGAUUUUCUCAAACUCAUUUUUGUCUUCCGUACAAAACACCCUCCUCCACGCCUUUUAUGUAUGAUUUCUUCAUCUGAAACUGGCAAUCCUGAAAAUAAAUGUUAGGAUUUACACAAAUUGCUAUUCAUUUUGUGGCCUUAGGUACCUUCCAUCACUCUCUCUCUCAAACAUUGCACUGAGGAAGAAUGCGCACUCAUUCUUUUAGACUAAAAACCCAGAAAUCCUAACUUUCAAGGACGAUCCGUCAAUUUCGGGUUUUGUGGAGUCGGAAAAUCGAAGACUAAGAAGCAGAGGAGGAGAUCAGUGAAGAAAAAAGGAGAGAAAGUAAAAGGAAAAAAUGUGAGUUAUUUUUUAUUAUUCUCUUUUUCCAAAAAGCAAUUUUUGGAUAUUUUAUCAUUAUUGUUUGGUUGCUAGGAAAUUGGGUUACUGAGUAGCAAAUAAAUUUGAUUGUUUUGUGGUUUUUGAGUAGUUGCAGGAAGUAAAUUUAAUUAUAUUGUGUCUACUGGAAGGUUGGAAGAACUGAUAUGCUUAUGUAUAUGUAUACAUAUGUUCUGAUUCCUGUUAAACUUUGUAUUAUUUUUGUGUUUGUCAUUGGCAGGUAGCUUUGAAAACAUUAGAUAAAUUGGAUAAUUUUCUCGAACAAUAUUAUCCUUAUCUUGGCCAGAUUUUUGAAAUGGGUUUUCGCUAGAGAUUUUCACUUUCUGCUUCAAUCUAGGUACUCUAUGCUUAAUUGAAUUGUUCAUCACGACCUUAUUUUCAUAUAUAUAGUAAUUUGGAGUAUUUAACUCGAUUGUCAUUUGAACUAUUCGAAAUUAUUUAUAUUUACCAGAUUUUUUAAAUGGGUUUUGGACCAAUUUGUAGAAACCUCUCUGUUUUGUGUAAUGUACUACUACGAUUAGUAGUUUGUUUUUGGGUGGUGAAUUUAUAAGAUUUGGAAUCUUUAUGGAAGAACAAGGAAAGAAAAUCUGCAAAAAAGACAAGAUUAGUCAAAUUCUCCCACCGUUUCAUUUUAAAGAUGUUUAUAGCUUUAGGAACCUACUUUUCAUCCUGAGUUUUCAUCCCACCGGAGAUUGGCGGCUUCAGCUUCAUUGUCGCUGAGACUGGUGGCCCGUUGGUGUCGGGUACGGUUUAUUGAUACGUAGGAGUUUUACAGGUAGGUUGGUUUUUGUAUACCUCUGUGUCGAAAGAAAUAUGUGUAUGUUGUUUGCUGCAAAUGAAUUGAUUUCAUUACAUUUCAGGCUUCAUGACUUGAAUCAACUUGGUGAGUUUUAUGCUCUUCGUUCGAUUAUAGUAUAUUCUUUUACAAUGACUUUAAGUAUUUACAUAGACAGUUUUGCAAUCUGAUUUUUUUUUUUUUAAGUUUUUGCUAAAGAUGCACGAUUCAAUGUGGAUGUGGCCUUACAAUUUUUUUAUUAGAAUAUGAUAUAUUUUAAUUGUUCUCUUAUUGAGUAAAGUUUUGGACGGUUUGGCAAUGUGUAAUUGAAGUUCUGUUUGUCAUUGUAUCGAUGUUGCAGUUUGCUUACUUGCCAAAGCUUUUAACAUGUUUCGGGAGUGAUACACAUGGAGAAUACCAGUGGUUACACAUUCCAGGAAACUGAGAUUGUAUGAUGCUGUUGAAGAUGCCAACAUAAAUGCAAAGAAAGAAGAGGGACAAAUAAAGAAUAGAGGAUUGGCAAUGAAAAUUUGAAGCGUCAAUCAGGAACAAAUGGGUGGAAAUUGCAGGAUUGAUGUCAAUUUUCUUUUCAAAAUAAACAAUGACAUAUAGACUUUAUGGGUAUUGUGAAUAACAUAAAUAUUGUGAUCUAGGUUUUAUAUUUUGACAUUUAAGUUGUUUUGUAUUUUGCUACGAGUACUUAAUGUUUUCAUAUACUCUUUUUUUA